CUUCAACGAGCCCAGCCACAACGGCGUUUCGCGGUCCUGCCCGUACGUCGCGAGCAACGCCUGCGCCUC
Streptomyces incarnatus is the source of this 69-nucleotide non-coding RNA. The record is from Rfam. Lineage: Bacteria; Bacillati; Actinomycetota; Actinomycetes; Kitasatosporales; Streptomycetaceae.